CGGGGGGCGUUUUUAAAAUUUUUAAACCAGCUCAGGACGAACGCUGGCGGCGUGCCUAAUACAUGCAAGUCGAGCGGACGGAUGGGAGCUUGCUCCCAGACCGUCAGCGGCGGACGGGUGAGUAACACGUGGGCAACCUGCCUGUAAGACUGGGAUAACUCCGGGAAACCGGGGCUAAUACCGGAUAACUCUUUUCCUCACAUGAGGGAAAGCUGAAAGAUGGCAUCUCGCUAUCACUUACAGAUGGGCCCGCGGCGCAUUAGCUAGUUGGUGAGGUAACGGCUCACCAAGGCGACGAUGCGUAGCCGACCUGAGAGGGUGAUCGGCCACACUGGGACUGAGACACGGCCCAGACUCCUACGGGAGGCAGCAGUAGGGAAUCUUCCGCAAUGGACGAAAGUCUGACGGAGCAACGCCGCGUGAGUGAUGAAGGUUUUCGGAUCGUAAAACUCUGUUGUCAGGGAAGAACAAGUACCGGAGUAACUGCCGGUACCUUGACGGUACCUGACCAGAAAGCCACGGCUAACUACGUGCCAGCAGCCGCGGUAAUACGUAGGUGGCAAGCGUUGUCCGGAAUUAUUGGGCGUAAAGCGCGCGCAGGCGGUUCCUUAAGUCUGAUGUGAAAGCCCCCGGCUCAACCGGGGAGGGUCAUUGGAAACUGGGGAACUUGAGUGCAGAAGAGAAGAGUGGAAUUCCACGUGUAGCGGUGAAAUGCGUAGAGAUGUGGAGGAACACCAGUGGCGAAGGCGACUCUUUGGUCUGUAACUGACGCUGAGGCGCGAAAGCGUGGGGAGCAAACAGGAUUAGAUACCCUGGUAGUCCACGCCGUAAACGAUGAGUGCUAAGUGUUAGAGGGUUUCCGCCCUUUAGUGCUGCAGCAAACGCAUUAAGCACUCCGCCUGGGGAGUACGGCCGCAAGGCUGAAACUCAAAGGAAUUGACGGGGGCCCGCACAAGCGGUGGAGCAUGUGGUUUAAUUCGAAGCAACGCGAAGAACCUUACCAGGUCUUGACAUCUCCUGACAACCCUAGAGAUAGGGCGUUCCCCUUCGGGGGACAGGAUGACAGGUGGUGCAUGGUUGUCGUCAGCUCGUGUCGUGAGAUGUUGGGUUAAGUCCCGCAACGAGCGCAACCCUUGAUCUUAGUUGCCAGCAUUCAGUUGGGCACUCUAAGGUGACUGCCGGUGACAAACCGGAGGAAGGUGGGGAUGACGUCAAAUCAUCAUGCCCCUUAUGACCUGGGCUACACACGUGCUACAAUGGAUGGUACAAAGGGCUGCAAGACCGCGAGGUUAAGCGAAUCCCAUAAAACCAUUCUCAGUUCGGAUUGCAGGCUGCAACUCGCCUGCAUGAAGCCGGAAUCGCUAGUAAUCGCGGAUCAGCAUGCCGCGGUGGAAUACGUUUCCCGGGCCUUGUACACACCGCCCGUCACACCACGAGAGUUUGUAACACCCGAAGUCGGUGGGGUAACCUUUUGGAGCCAGCCGCCUAAGGUGGGACAGAUGAUUGGGGUGAAUCUAAGGGGGAACCCCCCAUAUAAAGGGGGGGGAAGGGGGCGGAGGAGGGGGGAGAAGGGGGGAGGCGAAGAAGGGGGGGAAAUAAAAUAAAAAGGGGGUAGGGAAAGACGACA
RNAcentral lists this ribosomal RNA (1627 nucleotides) under Cytobacillus firmus. RNAcentral's name for it is "bacterial SSU rRNA". It matches the Rfam family "Bacterial small subunit ribosomal RNA". The record is from RNAcentral. Lineage: Bacteria; Bacillati; Bacillota; Bacilli; Caryophanales; Bacillaceae.